GUUGACCGCCUGGGGAGUACGGCCGCAAGGUUAAAACUCAAAGGAAUUGACGGGGACCCGCACAAGCGGUGGAUGAUGUGGAUUAAUUCGAUGCAACGCGAAAAACCUUACCUACGCUUGACAUGUCAGGAAUCCCGAAGAGAUUUGGGAGUGCCCGAAAGGGAACCUGAACACAGGUGCUGCAUGGCUGUCGUCAGCUCGUGUCGUGAGAUGUUGGGUUAAGUCCCGCAACGAGCGCAACCCUUAUCAUUAGUUGCUACGCAAGGGCACUCUAAUGAGACUGCCGGUGACAAACCGGAGGAAGGUGGGGAUGACGUCAAGUCCUCAUGGCCCUUAUGUGUAGGGCUUCACACGUCAUACAAUGGUCGGUACAGAGGGUCGCCAACCCGCGAGGGGGAGCCAAUCCCAGAAAGCCGAUCGUAGUCCGGAUUGCAGUCUGCAACUCGACUGCAUGAAGUCGGAAUCGCUAGUAAUCGCGGAUCAGCAUGUCGCGGUGAAUACGUUCCCGGGUCUUGUACACACCGCCCGUCACACCAUGGGAGUGGGUUUUACCGGACGUAGUUAGCCUAACCGCAAGGAGGGCGAU
This 586-nucleotide ribosomal RNA is filed under the name uncultured beta proteobacterium. Its description in RNAcentral is "bacterial SSU rRNA". It matches the Rfam family "Bacterial small subunit ribosomal RNA", at positions 864 to 1454 of the family's 1533-position model. The record is from RNAcentral. Lineage: Bacteria; Pseudomonadati; Pseudomonadota; Betaproteobacteria.